GAUUAAGAACGUAGCGAAAUGCGAUAAGUAAUGUGAAUUGCAGAAUUCAGUGAAUCAUCGAAUCUUUGAACGCACCUUGCGCCCUUUGGCUAUUCUGAAGGGCAUGCCUGUUUGAGUAUCAUGAACACCUCAACUCUCAUGGUUUGCCAUGAUGAGCUUGGACUUUGGGGGUCUUGCUGGCCUACGGUCGGCUCCUCUCAAAUGAAUCAGCUUGCCAGUGUUUGGUGGCAUCACGGGUGUGAUAACUAUCUACGCUUGUGGUUUCCCACCAGGUAACCUUCAGUGAUGGAGGUUCGCUGGGGCUCAUAAAUGUCCCUCCACAGUGAGGACAGCUUUUGAACGUUUGAUCUCAAAUCAGGUAGGACUACCCGCUGAACUUAAGCAUAUCAAUAAGCGGAGGA
This 401-nucleotide unclassified non-coding RNA is filed under the name soil metagenome. Its description in RNAcentral is "partial contains 5.8S ribosomal RNA, internal transcribed spacer 2, and large subunit ribosomal RNA". The stretch from base 1 to 121 matches the Rfam family "5.8S ribosomal RNA", at positions 35 to 154 of the family's 154-position model. The record is from RNAcentral.